GCCUGGGUGGCUCAGUUGGUUAAGCAUCUGACUUCAGCUCAGGUCAUGAUCUCACAGUUCGUGGGUUUGAGCCCCGCAUUGGGCA
This 85-nucleotide transfer RNA is filed under the name Felis catus (domestic cat). It matches the Rfam family "tRNA". From Rfam's summary of the family: Transfer RNA (tRNA) molecules are approximately 80 nucleotides in length. Lineage: Eukaryota; Metazoa; Chordata; Mammalia; Carnivora; Felidae. The record is from Rfam by way of RNAcentral.